UUUGACAAAUAAUAAAAGGUCUAGCCUGCCCAGUGACUCUGUUCAACGGCCGCGGUAUCCUAACCGUGCGAAGGUAGCGUAAUCACUUGUUCUUUAAAUGAGGACUAGUAUGAAUGGCAUCACGAGGGUUUUACUGUCUCCUCCCUCUAAUCAGUGAAACUAAUCUCCCCGUGAAGAAGCGGGGAUAAGCCUAUAAGACGAGAAGACCCUAUGGAGCUUUAAACACACAACAAUUGCCCUGCCCCCCCCCCAAAAAAUCUCCGGAUGAACCACCUACCCGGGCAUUUUGAUUACAAGUUUUAGGUUGGGGUGACCGCGGAGUAGAAAUUAACCUCCACAGCGAAUGGGACUUUUUCCCUAAACCCAGGGCUACGACCCUAAGAAUCAAUAAAUUGACACCCAUUGACCCA
This 410-nucleotide ribosomal RNA is filed under the name Leptodactylus cf. wangeri H AF-2012. Its description in RNAcentral is "partial 16S ribosomal RNA". It matches the Rfam family "Bacterial large subunit ribosomal RNA", at positions 1834 to 2422 of the family's 2925-position model. Lineage: Eukaryota; Metazoa; Chordata; Amphibia; Anura; Leptodactylidae. The record is from RNAcentral.